Danio aesculapii is the source of this 3351-nucleotide long non-coding RNA. RefSeq lists it as uncharacterized. The transcript is spliced from 5 exons. The record is from RefSeq and is a predicted model, not a curated record. Lineage: Eukaryota; Metazoa; Chordata; Actinopteri; Cypriniformes; Danionidae.
UGGUUUUAGGCGAGUGGCAGCGCUCUGGCUACAGACGUAGAGUCUUUUUUUUCCUCCCAGACGCACUGCGGCACAGCCAGACAACUAGAGUGGAAGCACAGGAGCUCACAGCUGCAGUCGACUGGCUUGUUUCGGGGAAGCUUCCUUUCGAAAUAUAGUCGCUGUGCUUCUCUCCGCCGUUAAAGGAUCAUUUUCAUCGGGGUAGAGCAAUCAAAGAGAGUAGAGCCAAGAAAGAAGACAAACUCUGAAUCAAGCAACUUGGAAUUACACUCCGUCUCUGAAAUUUGGGAUAAGCAAGUCCAGAUUGUGAAUUUCGUCUUGUUUUGGACUGCUUAUGCCAUCAUCUUCAUCUCCGAACCAGGAUUCCAAGCUGAGAAGUCGGCGAUAAAGGAUUGCAGUGCGUCACCUGUCUGUCCCGUUAUAAACCUGUCCCAUUCGAGUCGUCCAGUCAGCCGGGCCCACUUGCAAUCCCACUCACGGCGACCAGCCAAAGUGACCACUCUGAUCCAAGGUUAAGGUGGUUUUCAAUCCUAGACUUAGUCCUUGUCCAGAGGGCAGGGCAGAGUCGAACAGAAGCAGCGACGCAGCAGUUGAGCUGAGCUCAGCCAGACAGACGCGGUGACCUAAAUCAGCCCCAGUCAUGUCUGGACGCAGCCAAAGCCAGGGAGACGAAGAGGAAAACAGAGCGAGAGAGGGAGAGCGCAACCCACACGUACUGACUCCUACAUAUACCCGCACUAUGGGAUGGAGAGAAAUGAAGGAGGCUGUAAGGGGAGGGGGAGACAGAGUUGUCUCUCUCUCCCUCUCUCGCUCUUUUCUCCACCGCUUUAUUUCGUUCAUAUUCACAGCGCUGAUCUCCACCGUUGCUGCAGAGCGAAACGUAGAGUCGUGUCCCACUCACCUCCCCCGUUUGCACUUUUGGGUCCAGUAAACGGUGGGAUAAAAGACGGGCUGAAGUGAGUUGGUCAGACGGGCCUUGCCAAACCCACAGGCUGUUUCUGCCGCUCUGCUACCGCUGUGCUGUUUUUGAUGUGAGCCACAGUUCAGAUGCAGUGUUUUUUGGGCGAUCACCAAUAAGCUACCGUACUGGAGGAGAUGCUGGUAAAGUACGGGAGACCUUUCAAGAAAAUGAAUGCUGCUCUGGUGUGCCAUAAUCUGUGAGGGAUGUUUGGAGGUUGAAGGAAAAUCCAGUUUUUCUGUCAGUGGAAAAAAAGCGAAUGCUGCUCCGGUGUGCCAUAAUCCAUAAGGGAUGUUUGGAGAUUGAAAGAAAAUCCAAUUUUUCUGUCAAUGGAGAAGUAUGUGAAUGCCUAAAUGUAAACAUUUACGUUGUUGGGGAACUUUUUGGAAACUUUUAUAAAUUGCUGGCCAACAAAGUAUGGGCUGUUAUUUAAAUACCCCAAUAUACCUCAAACAAAAUUAAAAAAUGAACAGAAAUGACAGAAUUAUGAAUAAAAUCCAAGAAAAUUAAUUAUUUUUUGAGUUCGUUUCAGCAGUUUGAAACAGCUCACCAAAGUAAAUUUCUUAAACACAUUUGAGCUAUCAUUGGUCUGUGGCUAAUACGCAAUCAAUGGUUUUGUUCUUGAUCUGCUUUCUUAAACAUACGUUAUCUUCCCUCGAUUUGUUUAUCAUUCCACGGGGGUCAGUAAGGAGCCCAACAUCCAAAACAACAACACUAGCUACAUGAAUAUACUGGAUAGUCAAGUAGCAGAGCUGGUACAGAUAUAUCUGCACUUGUAUGAUCGCAGAGAGAUUCUAAGGACUCGAAGGGGGUCACACACAGAUUGAGAUGCCUACCUUGCCACGUCAUCUUUUUAUGAGUUUGUGCACACCAGUUUUACCAUUUGAUGUCUGUUUGCGACUAAUAGAAAGCAAUGUAAAGAUGUGAUGUGCUAGAUGUUUAUGAAACUGCACCAUUGUUGUGAUUAGGGGAUACACACGAGCAGCAAGAUACAUUCAAAACACCACCUACUGUAGUGUGGGGGUGUUGGAGUGUUUGUGUUUGUUCAGCCUUAUCAAACUACCUUUCGCCCUCAAAAUAGGAAUGAAAGAAAACUUCAUUUGAAGUAUAACAGGGACUUACGAGUAUAACUACUAAGAUAGCCAUUUUGAUAGUUUUGUAAUUUAAAGGUCGCAUGAAAACAUAUAUUUUUAGAUGUUAGUUUCAGUCUGUUAGUUUUAAGGAUAUCUAUGAGCUAGUGUGUUCCAAAAAAAGUGACAAAAUUCGCAUCUAGAAAGUAAAUAAACAAAGCUUGCAGUUUGUCACUACCUCCUAGAUCGGUCAAGGAUAUUUUUCACAUCACCUCAUAAAUUUUUCAGCAAAUCUUGACCAAUCUGUCUAGCAUCGGACAUGCCCCACCCCCUUCAAGAUGCUUCACAUUUAAUUUUUGUGAUAAAAAUGAAAUGAUAUUGGCUGUUUCUUUUCAAAGGGGAAGGGCUACUAUAUGCCCCACCCUCUCUUCAUUUUUCAGUUGAGAUUAAUUCAAACAUCGAAUACAUUUUCACAUUUCAAAGCACUUCAUGGAAUCUUUAAUAACUUUAAAAAAUCCCAUUUAACUAUAGUACCCUGACCUUUACUAAAUGUCUGUAUGUUUAGUUCUAACAUUGUUGUUUAAUUAAAAUGACAAAACACAAAUGAGUUCUCAGUAUUUCUGUGCCACUGUGUAUGUGUGCCUCUGUUGCCUAGCAACUUCUGCUAACAAAAACACUACUUUCUGAUAGCAAAAACAAACCUUCACUCAACUAGACAUGUCUAGUUAAAUGAAAUAUCUUUGCUCUCCAGCUUGCCAGACAAUGUAAGGUACACACCUUCACGGGAGGUCUAGUAACUCGUGCACAAUUUGGCAAGGGUAAUGACCAUACAGUAUGAUGACAUUCUUAGUUUUAAAAUAUCAAUAGAAGCUUUAAAUGUAAAUGACAAAAAAUCUAUUUGCUACAGUCUUUUAUGAAUGGUAAGAAUGACUGCUAUGCUAGAAUUCUGGUAAUUUCAGUGUUAAAGUGGAUUAAACACAGUCAGCGCACUCUAUAGUGGAUUGCAAAAAGUAGAUAACUAUUGAAUGACACAAAAAGAGAACUCAUUAUUUACUGUUUUUGUUCAAAGCUGUAUUUCACUGACUUGUUAUCAAUUAUAUGGAUUAAAUUUUAGAAUAUCAUUUCAUAGAAGGAAGAAAGACAUUAAUCAACGAUGUAAUUUAUCAUUUUUAAUUAAUGUCUGGGUUUAUGUGGGUGUGACAAAUGAUCCACUACCAGCCGCAUUAUUUGAUCAGAAUACAGUAAAAGCAGUAAAGUUAUGAACUACUGUUACAUUGUAAAAUAAUGUUUCAAAUUUGAAUAUAUAAUAGAAAUGAUUUAUAU